Paramuricea clavata is the source of this 71-nucleotide non-coding RNA. Lineage: Eukaryota; Metazoa; Cnidaria; Anthozoa; Malacalcyonacea; Plexauridae. The record is from the annotation of a GenBank genome assembly.
AAUUGGUCUUUGGCCUUGGCCCAGUCAUGAUCAAAUACGUGAUCAUGACUGGGCCAAGGCCAAAGACCAAU